Molecule: ribosomal RNA, 433 nt
Filed under: uncultured bacterium
Lineage: Bacteria
Description: partial 16S ribosomal RNA
Rfam family: Bacterial small subunit ribosomal RNA
Source: RNAcentral
AACGAACGCUGGCGGCAUGCCUAACACAUGCAAGUCGAACGAGACCUUCGGGUCUUGUGGCGCCCGGGUGCGUAACGCGUGGGAACCUGCCCUUAGGUUUGGCAUAACUCCCCGACAGGGGUGCUAAUACCGGAUAGUGUCUUCGGCCCAAAGAUUUAUCGACUUUGGAUGGGCCCGCGUUGGAUUCGCUAGUUGGUAGGGUAAAAGCCUACCAAGGCGCCGAUCCAUAGCUGGUCUGAGAGGAUGAUCAGCCACACUGGGACUGAGACCCGGCCCAGACUCCUACGGGAGGCAGCAGUGGGGAAUAGUGGACAAUGGGCGAAAGCCUGAUCCAGCAAUGCCGCGUGAGUGAUGAAGGCCUUAGGGUAGUAAAGCUCUUUUACCCGGGAUGAUAAUGACAGUACCGGGAGAAUAAGCUCCGGCUAACUCCGUG